Molecule: ribosomal RNA, 687 nt
Filed under: uncultured bacterium
Lineage: Bacteria
Description: bacterial SSU rRNA
Rfam family: Bacterial small subunit ribosomal RNA
Source: RNAcentral
AGCGGGGGCUUCGGCCUGCCGGCGAGUGGCGAACGGGUGAGUAAUGCAUCGGAGCGUGCCCAGUCAUGGGGGAUAACUACGCGAAAGCGUAGCUAAUACCGCAUACGCCCUGAGGGGGAAAGCGGGGGAUCGCAAGACCUCGCGUGAUUGGAGCGGCCGAUGUCGGAUUAGCUAGUUGGUGGGGUAAAGGCCUACCAAGGCGACGAUCCGUAGCGGGUCUGAGAGGAUGAUCCGCCACACUGGGACUGAGACACGGCCCAGACUCCUACGGGAGGCAGCAGUGGGGAAUUUUGGACAAUGGGGGCAACCCUGAUCCAGCCAUGCCGCGUGAGUGAAGAAGGCCUUCGGGUUGUAAAGCUCUUUCGGCCGGGAAGAAAUCGCAUGGGUUAAUACCCUGUGCGGAUGACGGUACCGGCAUAAGAAGCACCGGCUAACUACGUGCCAGCAGCCGCGGUAAUACGUAGGGUGCGUGCGUUAAUCGGAAUUACUGGGCGUAAAGCGUGCGCAGGCGGUUUGUUAAGACAGGCGUGAAAUCCCCGGGCUCAACCUGGGAACUGCGCUUGUGACUGGCAGGCUAGAGUACGGCAGAGGGGGGUGGAAUUCCACGUGUAGCAGUGAAAUGCGUAGAGAUGUGGAGGAACACCAAUGGCGAAGGCAGCCCCCUGGGUCGAUACUGACGCUCAUGCA